ACACACACACACACAAACCACACACCCCCACACACACACGCGCGCGCGCGCGCACCACGAUAUAAAGACGAUCGCAUGAGCAAGACCAGUCUUAGUCCUUCUGGUGACCUUAGCUGACCUGUACUUCUGGGAAUCGGCGUCAUGACCAAAGCUUCACUUCUUGUCAUUUUACUCCUGACCGCGCUGCUGCUGGCGCCGGCGACGGAGGCGCGGCCGCGGUGGUGGGGCCGAAGAGGGUCAUCUUCAGCGGCUGCGGCGGCGGCGGCGGCGGCAGGAGGCGCAGCCGCCUCGGCUUCGGCUGCGGCAGCAGGAGGAUCAGCAUCAUCGGCGGCUUCUGCUUCCUCGGCUUUUGGAUAGGAGGAGAGGGACAGAAGAAGGAUCAAAAGAGGAUCUGAAAAGGUGGAGGAGAGAUGGUGAGAUGGUUGGAGGGGGUGGAAGGGACUAACAAUAAAUACCUUUUAAAUUCU
Penaeus monodon (black tiger shrimp) is the source of this 467-nucleotide long non-coding RNA. RefSeq lists it as uncharacterized. Lineage: Eukaryota; Metazoa; Arthropoda; Malacostraca; Decapoda; Penaeidae. The record is from RefSeq and is a predicted model, not a curated record. The transcript is spliced from 2 exons.